ACGGCUCAGUAACACGUGGAUAACCUGCCCUUGGGACCGGCAUAACCCCGGGAAACUGGGGAUAAUUCCGGAUAACGCAUAUGUGCUGGAAUGCUUUAUGCGUAAAAUGGAUUCGUCCGCCCAAGGAUGGGUCUGCGGCCUAUCAGGUAGUAGUGGGUGUAAUGUACCUACUAGCCGACAACGGGUACGGGUUGUGAGAGCAAGAGCCCGGAGAUGGAUUCUGAGACAUGAAUCCAGGCCCUACGGGGCGCAGCAGGCGCGAAAACUUUACAAUGCGGGAAACCGUGAUAAGGGGACACCGAGUGUCAGCAUCAUAUGCUGGCUGUCCAGGUGUGUAAAAUACACCUGUUAGCAAGGGCCGGGCAAGACCGGUGCCAGCCGCCGCGGUAACACCGGCGGCCCGAGUGGUGAUCGUGAUUAUUGGGUCUAAAGGGUCCGUAGCCGGUUUGGUCAGUCCUCCGGGAAAUCUGAUAGCUCAACUAUUAGGCUAUCGGGGGAUACUGCCAGACUUGGAACCGGGAGAGGUAAGAGGUACUACAGGGGUAGGAGUGAAAUCUUGUAAUCCCUGUGGGACCACCUGUGGCGAAGGCGUCUUACCAGAACGGGUUCGACGGUGAGGGACGAAAGCUGGGGGCACGAACCGGAUUAGAUACCCGGGUAGUCCCAGCCGUAAACGAUGCUCGCUAGGUGUCAGGCAUGGCGCGACCGUGUCUGGUGCCGCAGGGAAGCCGUGAAGCGAGCCACCUGGGAAGUACGGCCGCAAGGCUGAAACUUAAAGGAAUUGGCGGGGGAGCAC
RNAcentral lists this ribosomal RNA (796 nucleotides) under uncultured Methanosarcinaceae archaeon. RNAcentral describes it as "bacterial SSU rRNA". It matches the Rfam family "Archaeal small subunit ribosomal RNA", at positions 85 to 879 of the family's 1478-position model. The record is from RNAcentral. Lineage: Archaea; Methanobacteriati; Methanobacteriota; Methanomicrobia; Methanosarcinales; Methanosarcinaceae.